GCUAAGCAUAUGGAAUAUGCUGCUGCUUUAGCAAAGGAGCUUGGGCGCUAGAAUGAAGUAUCUGAUUUCUAUCACAGAGCUUCAGAAUUAUACCGUGAAUGUGGAAGGCCACAACCUGCAUCUGAUGCUCUAGCAAAGGGUGCCAGUGCAUUGGAGGAGAAAUCUCCAGAAGAAGCUAUCAAAAUGUAUGAUGAGGCUUGUUCAGUACUA
This is an RNA transcript of Zea mays, 210 nucleotides long. It is a transcript of the gene named SNAP superfamily pseudogene, with no coding region annotated. The record is from RefSeq and is marked validated. The transcript has 2 exons. NCBI's taxonomy places the organism in Eukaryota, Viridiplantae, Streptophyta, Magnoliopsida, Poales, Poaceae.